UACGUAGGGUGCAAGCGUUAUCCGGAAUUAUUGGGCGUAAAGAGCUCGUAGGCGGUUUUGUCGCGUCUGCUGUGAAAACUGGGGGCUCAACCCCCCAGCCUGCAGUGGGUACGGGGCAGACUAGAGUGCGGGUAGGGGAGAUUGGAAUUCCUGGUGUAGCGGUGGAAUGCGCAGAUAUCAGGAGGAACACCGAUGGCGAAGGCAGAUCUCU
RNAcentral lists this ribosomal RNA (211 nucleotides) under uncultured bacterium. Its description in RNAcentral is "partial 16S ribosomal RNA". It matches the Rfam family "Bacterial small subunit ribosomal RNA", at positions 524 to 730 of the family's 1533-position model. The record is from RNAcentral.